CCACUCAUUAAAAGAGUGCGUAAUAGCUCACUGGUCGAGUGACUCUGCGCCGAAAAUUUAACGGGGCUAAACUAUACACCGAAGCUUGGGAUACAUCUAAUGUAUGGUAGGAGAGCGUUCUGUAUGGGGAGAAGUCGUAGCGAAAGCGGCGGUGGACUAUACAGAAGUGAGAAUGCCGGAAUAAGUAGCGAGAAUUAAGUGAGAAUCUUAAUGGCCGAAAGUCUAAGGUUUUUGGAGGAAGGUUCGUCCGCUCCAAGUAAGUCGGGAGCUAAGGUCAGGCCGAAAGGCGUAGCCGAUGCACAUACGGUUGAUAUUCCGUAACCAUCUGUAAUUUAAGCAAAGGGACACUUCAAAAGGGUGUGACCCGGGCGUUGGUUGACCCGGGCGUAAGGGACCGAAAUUAGAGUAGGGAAGCACACUUAGCUGAAGGCGAGAAAAGCUUUGCGUAUAGAAGCAGAUGCCCGUACCGCAAACCGACACAGGUGGACAGGAAGAGAAUUCUAAGGCCAGCGGGAGAAGGGUAGUUAAGGAACUCGGCAAAUUGACUCCGUAACUUCGGAAUAAGGAGUGCUCGAAAGAGCCGCAGAGAAUAGGCCCAGGCGACUGUUUAGCAAAAACACAGGUCUCUGCCAAAUCGAAAGAUGAAGUAUAGGGGCUGACACCUGCCCGGUGCCGGAAGGUUAAGAGGAGGAGUGAGAGCUCCGAAUUGAAGCCCCGGUAAACGGCGGCCGUAACUAUAACGGUCCUAAGGUAGCGAAAUUCCUUGUCGGGUAAGUUCCGACCCGCACGAAUGGUGUAACGAUCUGGGCACUGUCUCAACUACCCACCCGGCGAAAUUGUAGUACCGGUGAAGAUGCCGGUUACCUGCGGCAAGACGGAAAGACCCCAUGGAGCUUUACUGUAGCCUGAUAUUGGGUUUCGGAAAUCUAUGUACAGGAUAGGCGGGAGACUGGGAAACAUGAGCGUCAGCUUGUGUGGAGUCGAUGUUGGGAUACCGCCCUUAGGUUUCUGGAAUUCUAACCUGCGGCCGUGAAUCCGGUCGGGGGACAUUGUCAGGUGGGCAGUUUGACUGGGGCGGUCGCCUCCGAAAAGGUAACGGAGGCGCUCAAAGGUUAGCUCAGCACGGACGGAAACCGUGCCUCUGAGUGUAAACGCAAAAGCUAGCCUAACUGCGAGGGUGACGGCCCGAGCAGUAACGAAAGUUGGAGUUAGUGAUCCGGCGGUAUGUGAAUGGAAAUGCCGUCGCUCAACGGAUAAAAGCUACCCUGGGGAUAACAGGCUGAUCUCCCCCAAGAGUCCACAUCGACGGGGAGGUUUGGCACCUCGAUGUCGGCUCAUCGCAUCCUGGGGCUGUAGUCGGUUCCAAGGGUUGGGCUGUUCGCCCAUUAAAGCGGUACGCGAGCUGGGUUCAGAACGUCGUGAGACAGUUCGGUCCCUAUCUGUCGUGGGCGCAGGAUAUUUGAGGAGCUCUGUCCUUAGUACGAGAGGACCGGGAUGGACGUACCUCUGGUGCACCAGUUGUCAUGCCAAUGGCACGGCUGGGCAGCUAUGUACGGAACGGAUAAACGCUGAAAGCAUCUAAGCGUGAAGCCGACUCCAAGAUUAGAUAUCCCAUCGUAUAACGAGUAAGACCCCUUGAAGACUACGAGGUUGAUAGGCUGCGUGUGUAAGUGCCGUGAGGCAUUCAGCUUGGCAGUACUAAUAGGUCGAGGGCUUGACCA
RNAcentral lists this ribosomal RNA (1721 nucleotides) under human gut metagenome. Its description in RNAcentral is "bacterial LSU rRNA". It matches the Rfam family "Bacterial large subunit ribosomal RNA", at positions 1116 to 2925 of the family's 2925-position model. The record is from RNAcentral.